UACGUAGGGUGCAGGCGUUAAUCGGAUUUACUGGGCGUAAAGGGCGCGUAGGCGGCCACUGCAAGUCAGUUGUGAAAUCUCCGGGCUUAACCCGGAAAGGUCAACUGAUACUGCAGGGCUAGAGUGCAGAAGGGGCAACUGGAAUUCUCGGUGUAGCGGUGAAAUGCGUAGAUAUCGAGAGGAACACCUGCGGCGAAGGCGGGUUGCUGGGCUGACACUGACGCUGAGGCGCGAAAGCCAGGGGAGCGAACGGG
This 254-nucleotide ribosomal RNA is filed under the name uncultured bacterium. Its description in RNAcentral is "partial 16S ribosomal RNA". It matches the Rfam family "Bacterial small subunit ribosomal RNA", at positions 524 to 776 of the family's 1533-position model. The record is from RNAcentral.